GUUAAUAGGUUCGAGGUGGAAGCAUGGUGACAUGUGGAGCUGACGAAUACUAAUCGAUCGAAGACUUAAUCAA
Molecule: ribosomal RNA, 73 nt
Filed under: Staphylococcus aureus
Lineage: Bacteria; Bacillati; Bacillota; Bacilli; Caryophanales; Staphylococcaceae
Description: partial 23S ribosomal RNA
Source: RNAcentral